AGACAGAGGGAAGGAGAGAGAGACAGAAGAGAAGAAGAGAGAGACAGAGGGAAGGAGAGAGAGACAGAUCAGAUCAGACCUAUGCCACUCCUGCCCACCCCAUGCACCCCACCCCCGCAAAGAGGGCCUCAACAUGGAAGCCACACAUACGCCCAGGUAGUGAGCGGGCAAACAGUCCCAACCCCCACUCUCACACUCGCCCAAGCCAAUGGCAUGUACCAGAUGCUCAGCAGGCUCUGCUCACACUUACUGGCCUGAGGCUAAACCACGACCAACAACAUUGGACACUCUAUGGAACAAAAAGCCUUCACUAUAUUAUCCUGGAAUAUCCAAGGCCUGAGGUCAUCUGCCUUUGGCCUAAAGAGCAGAAACCCGGACUUCACCAAAGAAAUCGGUAAUACAGACAUUGUCAUCCUGCAAGAAACCUGGUAUAGAGGAGAUGGACCCACUGGUUGCCCUCUAGGUUACAGAGAGCUGGUAGUCCCAUCCACCAAACUACCAGGUGUGAAACAGGGAAGGGACUCAGGGGGUAUGCUAAUUUGGUAUAGAGCAGACCUAACUCACUCCAUUAAAUUAAUCAAAACAGGAACAUUCUACAUUUGGCUAGAAAUUCAAAAAGAAAUUAUCCUAACAGAGAAAAAUGUCCUCCUGUGUGCUACCUAUAUCCCCCCACUAGAAUCCCCAUAUUUUAAUGAAGACAGCUUCUCCAACCUCGAGGGGGAAAUCAAUCACUUCCAGGCCCAGGGACAUGUACUAGUCUGUGGUGACCUAAAUGCCAGAACCGGACAAGAACCUGACACCCUCAGCACACAGGGGGACAAACACCUGCCUGGAGCUGACAGCAUUCCCUCCCCCAUAUGCCCCCCUAGGCACAACUAUGACAACAUAACCAACAAAAACGGGUCACAACUCCUGCAGCUCUGUCGCACGCUGGGUAUGUACAUAGUCAACGGUAGGCUUCGAGGGGACUCCUAUGGUAGGUACACCUAUAGCUCAUCUCUUGGCAGUAGUACUGUAGACUACUUUAUCACUGACCUCAACCCAGAGUCUCUCAGAGCGUUCACAGUCAGCCCACUGACACCCCUAUCAGACCACAGCAAAAUCACAGUCUACUUAAACAGAGCAAUACUCAAUCAUGAGGCAUCAAAGCCAAAGGAACUGAGUAACAUUAAGAAAUGCUAUAGAUGGAAGGAAUGCAGUUUGGAAACCUACCAAAAAACUAUUAGGCAACAACAAAUUCAAUCCCUCUUAGACAAUUUCCUGGGUAAAACGUUCCACUGUAAUAGUGAAGGUGUAAACUUGGCAGUAGAAAAUCUUAACAGUAUAUUUGACCUCUCAGCUUCCCUAUCAAAUCUAAAAAUCUCAAAUAGAAAACCGAAGAAAAUUAACAAUAAUGACAAAUGGUUUGAUGAAGAAUGCAAAAAUCUAAGAAAGAAAUUGAGAAACCUGUCCAACCAAAAACAUAGAGACCCGGAAAACCUGAGUCUACGCCUUCACUAUGGUGAAUCACAAAAACAAUACAGAAAUACACUACGGAAAAAGAAGGAACAGCAUGUCAGAAAUCAGCUCAAUGCAAUUGAAGAAUCCAUAGACUCUAACCACUUCUGGGAAAAUUGGAAAACACUAAACAAACAACAACACGAAGAAUUAUCUAUCCAAAAUGGAGAUGUAUGGGUAAACCACUUCUCCAAUCUUUUUGGCUCUAUAACAAAGAAUAAAGAGCAAAAACAUAUACAUGAUCAAAUACAGAUCUUAGAAUCAACUAUUAAAGACUACCAGAACCCACUGGAUUCUCCAAUUACAUUGAAAGAGUUACAGGACAAAAUAAAAACCCUCCAACCCAAAAGGCCUGUGGUGUUGAUGGUAUCCUCAAUGAAAUGAUCAAAUAUACAGACAACAAAUUCCAAUUGGCUAUACUAAAACUCUUUAACAUCAUACUUAGCUCUGGCAUCUUCCCCAAUAUUUGGAACCAAGGACUG
Molecule: long non-coding RNA, 1979 nt
Filed under: Oncorhynchus kisutch (coho salmon)
Lineage: Eukaryota; Metazoa; Chordata; Actinopteri; Salmoniformes; Salmonidae
Description: lncRNA (ENSOKIG00005016696.1)
Source: RNAcentral